CCUACGGGUGGCAGCAGUGGGGAAUAUUGGGCAAUGGGCGCAAGCCUGACCCAGCAACGCCGCGUGAAGGAAGACGGCUUUCGGGUUGGAAACUUCUUUUGACAGGGAAGAGCAGAAGACGGUACCUGCCGAAUAAGCCACGGCUAACUACGUGCCAGCAGCCUCGGUAAUACGUAGGUGGCAAGCGUUGGCCGGAUUUACUGGGUGUAAAGGGCGUGUAGGCGGGCUGAUAAGUCAGAUGUGAAAGCCCGGGGCUCAACCCCCGAAAUGCAUUUGACACUGUUGGUCUUGAGUAUCGGAGAGGCAGGCGGAAUUCGUGGUGUAGCGGUGAAAUGCGUAGAUAUUAGGAGGAACACCAGUGGCGAAGGCGGCCUGCUAAACGGCAACUGACGGUGAGGCGCGAAAGCGUGGGGAGCAAACAGGAUUAGAUACCCCAGUAGUC
RNAcentral lists this ribosomal RNA (442 nucleotides) under uncultured bacterium. RNAcentral's name for it is "partial 16S ribosomal RNA". It matches the Rfam family "Bacterial small subunit ribosomal RNA", at positions 338 to 795 of the family's 1533-position model. The record is from RNAcentral.